Molecule: small RNA, 30 nt
Filed under: Bombyx mori (domestic silkworm)
Lineage: Eukaryota; Metazoa; Arthropoda; Insecta; Lepidoptera; Bombycidae
Description: ovarian small RNA-29498
Source: RNAcentral
UCUAGUGCGACUCGGCCAAAAGGAACGCCA